This 498-nucleotide ribosomal RNA is filed under the name Neurospora novoguineensis. RNAcentral's name for it is "eukaryotic LSU rRNA". It matches the Rfam family "Eukaryotic large subunit ribosomal RNA", at positions 94 to 601 of the family's 3401-position model. The record is from RNAcentral. Lineage: Eukaryota; Fungi; Ascomycota; Sordariomycetes; Sordariales; Sordariaceae.
UGAAGCGGCAACAGCUCAAAUUUGAAAUCUGGCUUCGGCCCGAGUUGUAAUUUGUAGAGGAAGCUUUUGGUGAGGCACCUUCUGAGUCCCCUGGAACGGGGCGCCAUAGAGGGUGAGAGCCCCGUAUAGUCGGAUGCCGAUCCAAUGUAAAGCUCCUUCGACGAGUCGAGUAGUUUGGGAAUGCUGCUCAAAAUGGGAGGUAAAUUUCUUCUAAAGCUAAAUACCGGCCAGAGACCGAUAGCGCACAAGUAGAGUGAUCGAAAGAUGAAAAGCAACUUUGAAAAGAGGGUUAAAUAGCACGUGAAAUUGUUGAAAGGGAAGCGUUUGUGACCAGGACUUGCGCCGUUCCGAUCAUCCAGGUGUUCUCACCGGUGCACUCGGGACGGCACAGGCCAGCAUCGGUUUUGACGGGGGGACAAAGGCCCUGGGAACGUAGCUCCUCCGGGAGUGUUAUAGCCCAGGGCGUAAUGCCCUCGCCGGGACCGAGGUUCGCGCAUU